GGCUCCAUAGCUCAGUGGUUAGAGCACUGGUUUUGUAAACCAGGGGUCGCGAGUUCAAUUCUCGCUGGGGCCU
This 73-nucleotide transfer RNA is filed under the name Xenopus tropicalis (tropical clawed frog). RNAcentral describes it as "tRNA-Thr (TGT) (tRNA-Thr-TGT-13-1)". It matches the Rfam family "tRNA". From Rfam's summary of the family: Transfer RNA (tRNA) molecules are approximately 80 nucleotides in length. Their secondary structure includes four short double-helical elements and three loops (D, anti-codon, and T loops). The record is from Rfam by way of RNAcentral. Lineage: Eukaryota; Metazoa; Chordata; Amphibia; Anura; Pipidae.